Molecule: long non-coding RNA, 695 nt
Filed under: Phascolarctos cinereus (koala)
Lineage: Eukaryota; Metazoa; Chordata; Mammalia; Diprotodontia; Phascolarctidae
Description: lncRNA (ENSPCIG00000016070.2)
Source: RNAcentral
AUGGAAGCCUGCUUCAGCCACAGCCACCAGCCCGUGCCGUCUGGUCCCCUUUCCUCCCCACUGGGCCCCCGUCUAGCUGACCCUGGCCAGGUGCACUGUCCCGCCAGACACCGUCAGCUCCACGCAGUGCAGAGAACCUGGGGAGCCCUGGCCUGGUGGAGUCAAUACGCAUCACUGGAGCCCUCCCCCUGCCCAAGACUUUUUGAAGGGAAUUCCUUUGGGGAAAUUUCUGUCUCAAGCAAGAUUCCCGGACCACACAGAAGCUACAGCAUUGGUAAUUAUCUAAAGGCAAAGACUACCUGAAGGACAGAACUUUCUCCUUGCUUCUGAGUGACCCAUGGUCCAUGUCAGCGGAACCAUCUAGUGAGAAAUUCUAGGACAAUACAUGGAACUGUGCCCUAGGGAACUGGACAGACACCUCUCUUCAUGAAUAGCCUUUCUCCCAUUAACCCUAGUAGCACUUAGAGAAGCCUGUGACAAAAACCAGUGCCUUUUAAAAUGCCAAAAAGAACAUUAGCUGUUUUCUCCAUUAAGAACCAUUCCCUAUAUUGGUCCCUUCCUUUCAUGUCUUCUCCUCAUCCCCAACAUUUAGUAGAGGCUUAUACAGAUCAUCCUUUUACAAAGGCUGCAUCCCAAAGCCAGACUAGAAGUAGUGGUCUCUCCAUGGCUGACCUUGUGGGUUCUCUAUGUUGAAA